This 440-nucleotide ribosomal RNA is filed under the name uncultured bacterium. Its description in RNAcentral is "partial 16S ribosomal RNA". It matches the Rfam family "Bacterial small subunit ribosomal RNA", at positions 338 to 795 of the family's 1533-position model. The record is from RNAcentral.
CCUACGGGAGGCAGCAGUGGGGAAUAUUGCACAAUGGGGGAAACCCUGAUGCAGCGACGCCGCGUGAGUGAAGAAGUACUUCGUUAUGUAAAGCUCUGUCAGCAGGGAAGAAAAUGAGGGUACCUAAGUGAGAACCCCCGGCUAACUACGUGCCAGCAGCCGCGGUAAUACGUAGGGGGGAAGCGGUAGCCGGUUUUACUGGGGGAAAAGGGAGCGGAGACGGCAGUGCAAGGCUGGAGUGAAAGGCGGGGGCUCAACCCCCGGACUGCUCUGGAAACUGUACGGCUGGAGUGCAGGAGAGGUAAGUGGAAUUCCAAGUGUAGCGGUGAAAUGCGUAGAUAUAAGGAGGAACACCAGUGGCGAAGGCGGCUUACUGGACUGUAACUGACGUUGAGGCUCGAAAGCGUGGGGAGCAAACAGGAUUAGAUACCCGUGUAGUC